UGAGGAUUCACGUAUUUCUAGUGUUGUCAUCUAAUGUUAAGAUAUCUAGUCUGAGUUAAUUAUCUAGGUUUCUGUUCUAAUUGUUAGACAGAAAGAGAGGAGAAAACAGGAGCCUACUGAAGAAGACUGAAAUAAAUGACCAAGGACAAACUUAUGUCAGUGUGGACUAAUAUGUUAGGUUCUUGUGUCACUGUUCUUCAUUUCAAAAAACACCUGAAAAUAAUGACUUUACUUCUUCCUCACUCAGUAAAAUUUUUCUCUCCAAAAUAUUCACUUACUCGAAGUAUAAGGUUUUCUUUUUCUCACAUUGAAGCCUAAAAUACACUGCCUUAAUUUUCUUCUUAUUUCUUAAGCCUGCAGAAGGUGAUGGAUUUUCUAGCAAUGCAGAACUUGUGACUAUUAUAUUGAAUACUGGAACACUAAUGGAUGAACUUCUUUGUGUGUGCUUUAUCUUAGGAGUUGUAAAUCAUUAAUCAUUUGUUUUAUGUUAUUCAAUUUCUGGAAUGUCAUGCAUUGAUUUGACAAGAUCGACAGACAGGCCAUCUGAUAGGCAGUGAGAAGUCUAGGAUAGCCCACUUUGUGUCUUGUGAUUUUAAUCAGGCAUUAGACUUCAGAAUAUAGCCAUACCAUAUCUGUAUGACUGUUUGAGUAUGGAACACAUAAAAGUGUACAAGAUAAGGUACAAAAGGGAAAACACAUUUCAAUAGACUGGGGUAUUUUCUUUGUUAAGAAAUCUACAACUAUUGGAGAAUCUUUUUAUAGAUAAUCUGGCAUUGCUGUACUAAGUUUAACAAUAGAAGAGGUUAUAAUAGUUGAGACAUUCCCAAAUUUAGAGUAAAGAAAGUAUAGUAUACGAAGGAGGUAUAAUAUGGAAUGUAUUCAAUACACCAGUUUUGAACCUAGGUGAGAAUUAAGAGACUAAAUUAUGAUAUUAAUUAAGGAAAAUCCAUCCUAGCUCAUAAUCAGAAAUUUUCACAGAUGAAAGCUGUGCUCAGCACAGUGUUUGCCUUUGGAUUGGGUUAGCUAAGAAGGUGGCAUAUUAGCAGGCAGAACAAAAGUGUUUCUUUGCCUAUAUCCUUUGGUGAUACUAGUAUGAAUGGUCAGGCCUUACCAGCAUGCUCUGAAGGGUCUGUGGUAGCCAG
Oxyura jamaicensis (ruddy duck) is the source of this 1142-nucleotide long non-coding RNA. RefSeq lists it as uncharacterized. NCBI's taxonomy places the organism in Eukaryota, Metazoa, Chordata, Aves, Anseriformes, Anatidae. The record is from RefSeq and is a predicted model, not a curated record. The transcript has 2 exons.